AACGAACGCUGGCGGCAUGCCUAACACAUGCAAGUCGAACGAGACCUUCCGGGCUUGUGGCGCACGAGUGCGUAACGCGUGGGAACCUGCCCUUAGGUUCGGAAUAACUCCCCGAGAGGGGUGCUAGUACCGGCUAAUGUCUUCGGACCAAAGAUUUAUCGCCUUUGGAUGGGCCCGCGUUGGAUUAGCUAGUUGGUAGGGUAAAAGCCUACCAAGGCGACGAUCCAUAGCUGGUCAGAGAGGAUGAUCAGCCACACUGGCACUGAGACACGGCCAGGACUCCUACGGGAGGGAGCAGUGGGGAAUAUUGGACAAUGGGCGAAAGCCUGAUCCAGCUAUGCCGCGUGAGUGAUGAAGGCCUUAGGGUUGUAAAGCUCUUUUACCCGGGAUGAUAAUGACAGUACCGGGAGAAUAAGCGCCGGCUAACUCCGUG
Molecule: ribosomal RNA, 433 nt
Filed under: uncultured bacterium
Lineage: Bacteria
Description: partial 16S ribosomal RNA
Rfam family: Bacterial small subunit ribosomal RNA
Source: RNAcentral